Molecule: ribosomal RNA, 250 nt
Filed under: uncultured bacterium
Lineage: Bacteria
Description: partial 16S ribosomal RNA
Rfam family: Bacterial small subunit ribosomal RNA
Source: RNAcentral
CCGGAACAGUGGCGAACGGGUGAGUAACACGUGGGCAAUCUGCCCCUAACUCUGGGAUAACUACUCGAAAGAGUAGCUAAUACCGGAUACGAAAUCUGAGGACAUCCUCGGAUUUGGAAAGUUUUUCGGUUAGGGAUGAGCCCGCGGCCUAUCAGCUAGUUGGUGAGGUAGUGGCUCACCAAGGCGACGACGGGUAGCCGGCCUGAGAGGGCGACCGGCCACACUGGGACUGAGACACGGCCCAGACUCC